AACGAACGCUGGCGGCAUGCCUAACACAUGCAAGUCGAACGAGACCUUCGGGUCUAGUGGCGCACUGGUGCGUAACGCGUGGGAACCUGCCCUUAGGUUCGGAAUAACUCCCCGAAAGGGGUGCUAAUACCGGAUAAUGUCUUCGGCCCAAAGAGUUAUCGCCUUUGGAUGGGCCCGCGUUGGAUUAGCUAGAUGGUAGGGUAAAAGCCUACCAAGGCGACGAUCCAUAGCUGGUCUGAGAGGAUGAUCAGCCACACUGGGACUGAGGCACGGCCCAGACUCGUACAGGAGGCAGCAGUGGGGAGUAUUGGACAAUGGGCGAAAGCCUGAUCCAGCAGUGCCGCGUGAGUGAUGAAGGCCUUAGGGUUGCAAAGCUCUUUUACCCGGGAUGAUAAUGACAGUACCGGGAGAAUAAGCUCCGGCUAACUCCGUG
This 433-nucleotide ribosomal RNA is filed under the name uncultured bacterium. RNAcentral's name for it is "partial 16S ribosomal RNA". It matches the Rfam family "Bacterial small subunit ribosomal RNA", at positions 29 to 507 of the family's 1533-position model. The record is from RNAcentral.